RNAcentral lists this long non-coding RNA (903 nucleotides) under Homo sapiens (human). RNAcentral describes it as "HSALNT0384048". Lineage: Eukaryota; Metazoa; Chordata; Mammalia; Primates; Hominidae. The record is from RNAcentral.
CUGCCACAGCAUCAGUCACACGCUCCAGCCCCUACUGCCCCAUGCCCGCCUCGAGUGAGCGGCCACCAGAGACCCAGGGAACAUGGCUCCCACUGCCCUGCUGGCCACGGCUAGACCUGGGCUUCUCAGCCUUAUCCUGGGGAUGUUCUGGGGCAGACAGUUGUCUGUCAUGGGCCCGUCCUGUGCACUGCAAGACACGGACCUGUGUCCCUCCCCUCUGCCUACUGAUGCCAGCAGCACCUACCUCCAGUUCUAGCAGCCACAAAGGUAUCUACACAUGUCCACAUGUCCCCUAGGGUCUGGCUGGACUAAAGGCAAAACUAAAGCCCAGAAGACAGACCAGUGCACCGGAUGCCCGUACCGCGUGAUGGCCAGGAAGGCCCGGCUGUGCAGCUCCUGCUUGAUGGCGCUUUGCAGACGGUAGGCGUGCCCAUGGCAUGAGGCAUCCCCAUAGCUGGCCAGCAGGGUCACCAGCAGAAAAAGCAUGUACACCAGGAGGCUCUGGUGGACGGGGGGGCCCUGUGGUCAGCCUGGCCCCAGCCCACAGUGACAGCAGGGCUUUGGCAACGGCUGGAGCCAUGGCUGCGGCAGGUGUGGCUGCAGGAAGGAGCCAGUGACCACCGAGGCUGUGCCACUGCAUCGGGCCACCAUGCUGAUAUGCCCGGUCCCAGAGCUGCUAGAGAAGAGGUACAGAGGCAGCGAAGACACGUUGAGGGGGAGGACGAGACCAACUGCGAGACGCCGAGUCCCGGGCUCUCAGGACGCUCUCCCGUACCUGCGCCCUCGUCAGCCCAUCACCGAAAGAACGGCCUGACCCAGGGUCACACUGCACUGAAUGCUUCCUGUUUUGCUGUCUCUCGGAGGAUAAAAGACACUCUUGGCUGGGCGCAGUGUCUCAAGCCU